CGCCCUAUAUGCCCUAACUACCACUUUUAGUAAAGCCCAUUCCAUCUCCCUAUGGCAUGUGAGGUUAGGCUUAGAGCCAAAUCUUGGUUUUGACCGUAGGGUCACCGCCCUAUAUGCCCUAACUACCACGCUUAGUAAAACCCAUUCCAUCUCCCUAUAGCAUGUGUAUAUGCACUUCCACAAACAUGUUUUUUAUACAUGAUAGAGAUAUCUACAUUUCUACACCAAUCAAUUUUUACAAAUUCACAACAUUAAUUUAAUUCGUUUUUUUUGGGUAAGUAACACUCAUACAACUCGUUACUUAUCAAAAAAAAAAAGAUAUCUAUUUCAUGUUUACGUAUAUAAUGGCACAGGCAAACACCAUUCAUCAUAAGUGAUAGAAAGUUAGAUCUUGUUAAAUUCCCUCAUUAACUUGUUAGACAUUAUGGGCAAUUGAUGUAACUGCAAGCACACAUCAAAUACAAGGCUCCUAAUGUGAACAAAUAACACCAUCACCACUAUUUACGAGGGAGAGAUGAAAUCUGCUAGCACAAUGCUCCUAUCCUCUCUCUCCAGGUCAGUGACUCAGUGACAUACAAACAUUAGCCACAAUAGACUGUUAAAACUUGAAAUUUGCUAGUUCAAAUAACGAUAAAUACCACAAUGAUUCCAACAAUCAGAGCAUGAAAUAGCACAGGGGCUUUCUUAGUAAAUAGAAAGAAGUACCAUGCAUGUGAAGUUGCAAAAUGCAAGCACUCCUUUUCACUCCUCUCUCUCUUUCUCCAUAAGGGCUAGAGAGUGAGAAACUACAGCUCUAACAUGAAGUGAUGAAGAGAAGGCAAACGAGUAUAGAGGUAAGACAGGAAGACCUUGAGAAGCUCAAAUUUGAAGUAACCCUUCCACUCUCCUCUAUCACCUUAACUCCACUAAAGACCCCUCCUCCAAAGCCUCAAUGCCUGAUGUCUAAACCCUAAAGGACAAAGUUUUACAUCAUCCUCAGUCCCUUGGCCAAAAUCUUGAGAACCAAAAAGCCUUAAAAACCCUGGAAAUGGAGGUUAGUCUAACCCUUGAACCAAAAACCCCCCCAAAAGCUAAAAAGGGCUACAACUUACUUGAGCCAAAACUUAGAAACCCAAAAAACAAAAAAGUUCCCUGAAUUGGAGCUGGGACAAAACUUGAACCAAAAUUGAAAUCCUCAAAAAGAAAACUACAAAGAGAAAAAAAAAUUCAAGAUAGAGUAAGAGAGAUAUAGACCACACUGAAAUUUGAGAGAGGGAGAGAGACCAACAUCAAAUUCAAGAAAGAGGAAGAGAGAUAUCGAUCAACACCAAAUUCAACACAGAGGGAGACUAACAUCAAAUUUGAGAAAGAGAAAGAGAGAGCAACAUCAAAACAAGAGGGAGGCCCUCGUUCUAGCAGCUUCCCCAACCUGAAUACUACAAACUUCAACAUACUCGAGUAUUUGCACAUUCCCAUUCUCCAUCAACACCCCUUCCAACAUCUACCCACCAGCUUUUAAGCCAUCUCGCUCUACAUCUAUAGCUCGUCUCAGACCCAAACCUUCUCUAGCCAACAGUGUUUCGAGACUCGGCAAGGUCUACUCGUACUCAGUCGAGUAACUCAGUCUCGCCCUAUGGGCGAGACGAAUUUGCCCCGAAUACAUUGUACACACAUUUUUAAUGGUUAUAUAUAAUAAUGUUCAAGCUUUAAUGAUGAACACUCAAGUGGC
RNAcentral lists this long non-coding RNA (1708 nucleotides) under Amborella trichopoda. RNAcentral's name for it is "long non-coding RNA (ATRI_LNC004319)". Lineage: Eukaryota; Viridiplantae; Streptophyta; Magnoliopsida; Amborellales; Amborellaceae. The record is from RNAcentral.